This 425-nucleotide ribosomal RNA is filed under the name uncultured bacterium. RNAcentral's name for it is "bacterial SSU rRNA". It matches the Rfam family "Bacterial small subunit ribosomal RNA", at positions 356 to 773 of the family's 1533-position model. The record is from RNAcentral.
GGGGAAUUUUGGACAAUGGGGGAAACCCUGAUCCAGCCAUUCCGCGUGAGUGAAGAAGGCCUUCGGGUUGUAAAGCUCUUUCAGCAGGAACGAAACGGCAGGCUUUAAUACAGCCUGCUAAUGACGGUACCUGCAGAAGAAGCACCGGCUAACUACGUGCCAGCAGCCGCGGUAAUACGUAGGGUGCGAGCGUUAAUCGGAAUUACUGGGCGUAAAGCGUGCGCAGGCGGCGGCAUAAGACAGAUGUGAAAUCCCCGGGCUCAACCUGGGAACUGCGUUUGUGACUGUGCUGCUAGAGUGUAGCAGAGGGGGGUGGAAUUCCACGUGUAGCAGUGAAAUGCGUAGAGAUGUGGAGGAACACCGAUGGCGAAGGCAGCCCCCUGGGUUAACACUGACGCUCAUGCACGAAAGCGUGGGGAGCAAAC